RNAcentral lists this small RNA (3704 nucleotides) under Pongo abelii (Sumatran orangutan). Its description in RNAcentral is "processed transcript". Lineage: Eukaryota; Metazoa; Chordata; Mammalia; Primates; Hominidae. The record is from RNAcentral.
UGGUCAGUGGAAUUGGGAAAAAGUCUACAAAAGUACAAAUUUUCAGUUUAAUUUUAACUUUGCACUUCACUCACACCCAGGACUUGGCAGGGGAAGUGGGCCUUGAUUUUUUUUUUCUUUUUAAAGCAGAACACACCCUGGAUGGAAAAGGGAUGUUCUCUUCGCGUGGAAGGGUUAGAACCAAGUACAGAGGAAAUGGGUUGGUAUUGUAGCAAGAGUUCAGGGGUGGGUCUAGGCUUUGAAACUGGAGCACUAGGAAAGUGUGGCCCUCAUGGAGGCAGUCAGGGAAGGGGAUGGGAUGUCUUUCACAGGCAGCUGUUGGGCUGACAUUUUUGUUUUGUCCUGUUUGGUGCAUUUCAGAUACUUCACAGCUCACCUGCUGCUCUCAUUGGGACCCCUCUUCACCUCAUGACGAAGCAGUGGGUCUUUCCCCCAUGUGGUUUGGGCUUUUUGGUGGUAUCAGCAACCUCAGGUCUAAGCCCUGUCCCCUCCCUCCCCUCUGUGAUCUCACCCUGCACGGUGCUGAAACCAACCAGGGAGGAAAUGCAGAAACAGUGGGGAUUCCAAAGACACCACCUUUAAAACGAUGGGGAUUUCCCAAGGGAGUGGAAGCAACCUCUUGCUAUUUGGGGAAGAGCAGGGUCCCAGGCCCCUGUCUGUAUCCUUGCCCCCUCCUGCAGUGUCAUCUGAGCCAGAGCAGGGUUAGGCUCUGUGCUUUGGUUGCUAAGGAUGUGUAACCAGAGCAGAGACCUCUGGGGGUGGUGCCCACCUGGCUGGUGGAACAGUUAGAAGAGGAGCUGAAAAGAAACAGUUACAGCUGUAGGGGAGGUGUGAUCCCUUUCCUCACCCGUCAUAAGAGUCAUGGCCAACACUUACAACAAAAGAAAGGCUAACAAAAGAAAAGCGUAACAAAUUUAUUUAAUCAAAGUUGUAAGUGACAUGAGAACCUUCAGAGAAGAAGACCCAAAGACCCAGGGAAACUGCCUAUUUUUAUACUUAGGUUUGAUGAAGAAUAGACAGCCAUGAAGAAAUGGGACUGGACAAAGGGGUGUAGGCUGAGAGGGAACCCAGCAAGGCCUGUCUGUUCAGAUUCUUUGUGGCCUCUCUGUGUAGCAUUCCUUCCUCCUAGAUAUGGGGCAGGACCUCUCUGGAAUGAGGGUCUUCAAGGGAGAAGGGACAGGAGAGAGUAACCUUUCUCGGCUUUGCUUUGGGAGAGAGGAAUUCUAGUUUCUGUGACCCACCUUGGGGAAGAGAAGUUCUGGAUUCUGUGACUUCUGGGGAGAGAGGGUGAGAGACAGGAGGGCAGGAGAAAUUCACAGAGCUUGCUUCUGAGGCCUUCCUAUCUCCUUUAGUUCAAAGCACCCAGCACGCCAAAGCCCUUUACAUUUGGGUAUUGUGUUCUGAGCCCCACCACAGCCAAGAACUUGUAGAAUUGACUUGGGGGUCUGGGGAGAGUCCCAAGAAGCCAUCAGGGGCCCCUCCUCAUCUUGUGGCUAACACCAGCCACCUGAGUGCAGUAGACACCCACCCUCCUGUGACCUUCUUUUGGGAUUUUAGGAUAAGCAGUUCGGAUGUGCCUUAAAAACGGAGAGAACACACCCCAAGGAGUGGUUAUGGGGAUUAAACGAGACUGUGUAUGAAGCACCUAGAGUGUGCCUAGCGAGUGCUUGAGAAAGAUAUGAUGAUUAUUUUUAAUAAAAGCAUUAAUAGUGGUUGCUUGAGUAUUGUCCUCGAGAGGAGCAGCCAUCACUUUUGGUGUGGUGGUAGGAGCUGGGGACUGGCCUCGUCAGGACUCCGAAACCUAUGUCUAUCUGUGGCAUUCCUAGGCAGCCUGCCCCAGCAGCAGCCCCUUGGGCUGUGGGUAGGGGUGGCAGGCAGCACUGUUCCUCUCCAGGAAGGAGGCCGACUUCCUGGACGAAUUCCCUGGGCUCCCCAGCACCGCUCUAUGAGGCCCUCCUCUCCUCGGCGAACGGCAGUAAGGAGAAGCCAUUGACCCGUCUAGAAAAACCACAUGUCUGCAGUCUUUGAGGGUAGACUGGAAUCUCUUCUCAUAUUUGCCUUGCUUUGGUGGAGCUUCAAGAAUUCCCAGGCCUUCCAAGGAAACCAAUUACUAAAGAAGACUGUGGGCCAUGUGACUCCAGUGUUUACUGCAAACGAAGGCGAUGGCUCCCCUCCCCCAGUACAGUUACUCUCCCUCCAUCUGCACUGGUCCCCUAAGGCCUGGCUUCCUGGCUCUACGCUGCUUUCUUGCCCUAGGGCAGAAGGCCUCACAGGAUUUAUUCCCAGGCACUCUUGCCAUGACCUUGAGAAGGUGGCUUGACCUGGACAUCUGGAUCUCGGGGACUGAGGGGGUGGGAAAGGACUGAACCUCCCCCUCCCAAACCCAACAGGAAGGUGGGCUUUGGUGACCAUUUCCUAGGCUGAGAGCUCCUUGGCUCCAGGAGAGGGCUGCGCUCCCUGUCUCUCCUGCUCUGUGGGCUGUGCUAGAUGAAACCCACAAAUUGCUGCUGUCCCGGGCGGAGCGGCAUGCCUCCACCCACCAGUGAAGAGUGAAGGCAGGGCAGUUGCAGGGCCCUGCAGGACUCUGAGAUCCAGAUGUGUACCCCAGUGCUCCCCUGCUCUGCCCACUGGCAAGAGGGGGCUGAGGAGGGGCAUAGCAGGCCUCGUGUGGACUCUGUUUCCAUCUCCUUACCCCCAUAUCUCUACUUGGCCCAGAGAUGCCUGAGUAAGAGGGGCACCUGGUCAUUCUGGGCCCAGAAGGAAGAAGCUAGGCAUGUUGGCCUGCUCGAAGGACAGGAGCAGCCCUGGACAGGGACAGAUUAGAAAGCCUGGCUGCUUAUCCAAGAGAGGAAAAGGCCCUGAGGGGCAGGAGGAACCCUUUGAACAAUGCCGGACUGCUGUUGAGAAGGACAGGCUUGUGCCAUGUGACUCAUUGGUGAGAAAUCAGGGCCUGUGGAUGGAAGUUCCAGGGAGGGAGGCAACAAAUCCACUUGACAUUGGUGAAAGAACUUGUCCUGGACAACAGUCGGUCAAAUGAAGGCAAACUCGAAGGCCUCACAGAUGAAUUUGAAGAACUGGAAUUCUUAAGUACAAUCAACGUAGGCCUCACCUCAAUCGCAAACUUACCAAAGUUAAACAAACUUAAGAAGCUUGAACUAAGCGAUAACAGAGUCUCAGGGGGCCUGGAAGUAUUGGCAGAAAAGUGUCCGAACCUCACGCAUCUAAAUUUAAGUGGCAACAAAAUUAAAGACCUCAGCACAAUAGAGCCACUGAAAAAGUUAGAAAACCUCAAGAGCUUAGACCUUUUCAAUUGCGAGGUAACCAACCUGAAUGACUACCGAGAAAAUGUGUUCAAGCUCCUCCCGCAACUCACAUAUCUCGACGGCUAUGACCGGGACGACAAGGAGGCCCCUGACUCGGAUGCUGAGGGCUAUGUGGAGGGCCUGGAUGAUGAGGAGGAGGAUGAGGACGAGGAGGAGUACGAUGAAGAUGCUCAGGUAGUGGAAGACGAGGAGGACGAGGAUGAGGAGGAGGAAGGUGAAGAGGAGGACGUGAGUGGAGAGGAGGAGGAGGAUGAAGAAGGUUAUAACGAUGGAGAGGUAGAUGACGAGGAAGAUGAAGAAGAGCUUGGUGAAGAAGAAAGGGGUCAGAAGCGAAAACGAGAACCUGAAGAUGAGGGAGAAGAUGAUGACUAAGUGGAAUAA